ACGGGGGGUGCGAGCGUUGUCCGGAAUCACUGGGCGUAAAGGGCGCGUAGGUGGCCUGAUAAGGGUGUGGUGAAAGUCCGGGGCUCAACCCCGGAUCGGCCGUGCCGACUGUCAGGCUAGAGUACUGUAGGGGCAGGCGGAAUUCCGGGUGUAGCGGUGGAAUGCGUAGAGAUCCGGAGGAAGACCGGUGGCGAAGGCGGCCUGCUGGGCAGUUACUGACACUGAGGCGCGACAGCGUGGGGAGCAAACAGGAUUAGAUACCCUGGUAGUCCACGCCGUAAACGAUGGGUACUAGGUGCCUGGGGGAGCGACCCCUUGGGUGCCGGCGCUAACGCAGGAAGUACCCCGCCUGGGGAGUACGGCCGCAAGGCUG
Molecule: ribosomal RNA, 373 nt
Filed under: uncultured bacterium
Lineage: Bacteria
Description: bacterial SSU rRNA
Rfam family: Bacterial small subunit ribosomal RNA
Source: RNAcentral